Miniopterus natalensis is the source of this 366-nucleotide long non-coding RNA. RefSeq lists it as uncharacterized. The record is from RefSeq and is a predicted model, not a curated record. NCBI's taxonomy places the organism in Eukaryota, Metazoa, Chordata, Mammalia, Chiroptera, Miniopteridae.
GGCUUCUUCAUUCCUUUGGGUGGCUCUCCACUUGGACAGGCUGCACGGGCUGGGUUUCAGUCCCCACCUGCUGAACCAGCACAACAGCUCAGAUCUGAUAACCACAUGGACCAGCCAGGGAGAUGGAAGGAAUCCGGAGAAAUCCAUGUCUGAUGGAGGACUUUAGAGUGAUGGACAACUUACGUCCAUGGCAAAGCUAAUACUGUUACCAGAAAAUAGAAACAGAAAGAACCUGGAUCCUUGAUCACUUCAUUGAACUGCUGGAUCAACUAAUUCUGAUACACACUUCCAAGCAUGCACCUGACGAAAAAUAUUUGAUACUCAGAAGCUUUCCCCCAACCUGAAGUGUGACUUUAUUUCAAUGAA